RNAcentral lists this ribosomal RNA (253 nucleotides) under uncultured bacterium. RNAcentral describes it as "partial 16S ribosomal RNA". It matches the Rfam family "Bacterial small subunit ribosomal RNA", at positions 524 to 776 of the family's 1533-position model. The record is from RNAcentral.
UACGUAGGGUGCAAGCGUUAAUCGGAAUUACUGGGCGUAAAGCGUGCGCAGGCGGCUAUGCAAGACAGAUGUGAAAUCCCCGGGCUUAACCUGGGAACUGCAUUUGUGACUGCAUGGCUAGAGUACGGUAGAGGGGGAUGGAAUUCCGCGUGUAGCAGUGAAAUGCGUAGAUAUGCGGAGGAACACCGAUGGCGAAGGCAAUCCCCUGGACCUGUACUGACGCUCAUGCACGAAAGCGUGGGGAGCAAACAGG